GACAGAGGUGCCGAGCGUUAGGCGGAAUCACUGGGCUUAAAGCGUGUGUAGGCGGACCGUUAAGUACCUUGUGAAAUCCCCCGGCUCAACCGGGGAACGGCUGGGUAUACUGGCGGUCUUGAGCCAUCCAGGGGCAGUCGGAACAGACGGUGGAGCGGUGAAAUGCGUAGAUAUCGUCUGGAACGCCGAAGGUGAAAACAGACUGCUGGGGAUGUGCUGACGCUGAGACACGAAAGCCAGGGGAGCGAACGGG
This 253-nucleotide ribosomal RNA is filed under the name uncultured bacterium. Its description in RNAcentral is "partial 16S ribosomal RNA". It matches the Rfam family "Bacterial small subunit ribosomal RNA", at positions 524 to 776 of the family's 1533-position model. The record is from RNAcentral.